CCCUGCUGAUCUACUCUUACUUCCAAAUACUGCAAUAUAUAGGCUAUAUGUGGUUUUGCCAUUGAAAGAAAUAUCCAGAAACCCCUGCCAUGGCUGUCUAAUACUGUUGAGUCCCAAAAUCCUGGUAGCACAGUGCGACUUUCAUUUUCAGCUGCAGUGACUCGCCUCCAUCCAGAAAAAUACCCAAGUGGCAAAUAAUCCAGACUGUUUUGUCAGCUGUGCCACUGGAAAUGUCCUCUUCUACGUUGAAUCGAUCUGCAUUUAGACAAGUCUCAGUGAGAUUACUUGACAGGUGGGUCACUGUAUUAAAGCCAUACCUUUUUUUUGGUUAAAUGUAGUAUUAAUUUCUGCAGAAUUGUUAGUCAAAAAUGUGGAAUUUUAAAGGUGCCUUUGUAGAUUGUCAUGGGAUGCUGCGCAGAUGAAGAAUCUGCAGGUCAGGUUAUGAGGGCUAUUUUGUAAAUCUGUGCACACAAAUGUCCAUAACAUGUUCUAAGAGCUAGUUCAAUCUGGGACUUCUUGAGCUAAUUGAACCAACUUGGACCGAUAGCCUUUGAUGGACCUUUCUUCCACAGAUUUAGCUGUUUCCUUUCAGAACCUAUGGCCUCCACAACACACUGCACCCAUCAGCACUGCAGUUUCGUUAUGAAGUGUACGGAAAAGGACUUCUUUUUCUGGGAUGUGGUCUAAAACUGUUACUGGAUCAUUUCAUCAGGUAAUUAAUCAGGUGAAUCAUUAAUUCCUGGGUUAGAAUGGGUGAAUUCCCUAGGUCCUUUCUCCAUAACAUUCCAG
RNAcentral lists this long non-coding RNA (789 nucleotides) under Struthio camelus australis. Its description in RNAcentral is "lncRNA (ENSSCUG00000001680.1)". The record is from RNAcentral. Lineage: Eukaryota; Metazoa; Chordata; Aves; Struthioniformes; Struthionidae.